CGGCCGCAAGGCUAAAACUCAAAGGAAUUGACGGGGGCCCGCACAAGCGGCGGAGCAUGCGGAUUAAUUCGAUGCAACGCGAAGAACCUUACCAAGGCUUGACAUGCGCGGUGGAAUCCCAGAGAUGGGGUGUCAUUUAGUUGGUCGCGUACAGGUGGUGCAUGGUUGUCGUCAGCUCGUGUCGUGAGAUGUUGGGUUAAGUCCCGCAACGAGCGCAACCC
Molecule: ribosomal RNA, 221 nt
Filed under: Crypthecodinium cohnii
Lineage: Eukaryota; Dinophyceae; Gonyaulacales; Crypthecodiniaceae
Description: partial Bacterial small subunit ribosomal RNA
Rfam family: Bacterial small subunit ribosomal RNA
Source: RNAcentral